AAACGAAGACAGGUCCGUUUUUUUCAUUUUCUGAGACCGGAAGUGGUCAUCAGCAAGUGUGGAGCCAAACGACAACAAGAUUCUCAGAGGGCGGAGCCAGAGAGCAGUGAUUGGUCAGACCAUAGCUAGCGUAUCUAGUCUUCUAUGCAUAUCUAUGGUCGGCACAUCUGGUAGCAUCUCUGGCUGCUGUUGACCUUGUUUUUGGAGUAAAACACGGUGGAAGCUGAAUUAGUGAGGAUGACUCCUGCUCCUGUCAUCUCUAAGCUCCUCACACAUCUUUACCUGCACAUGAGGAAAAUCACUCCUGUAGAAUGCAGAUGUUCAGAGGGAGAUGAUGCCACAUCUGGUCCAGCCGAUGGAAGGUCUUGAAGUUCUCUGACUGGCCUGGACUGAAGAUGGUCGUCUCACUGGAUUUAAGGUUCAGAUGCUCAGUAACAAACUCCACCAAUGAGCCAACAGGGAAGCUUUAGGUUUAUUAAAUGUUGCUAUGAAGGUAUCGCUGUUUUUCUUUGUGAAUGCAAUGUGCUCCAACUGAAACUUGAAUUAGAACUUAGAAGUAAAUCCUUCCAUCUGAAAGGAUUUAGUUGCAUUAAUGACCUCAUAACAUUCUAAUUUUUAUUCCAGUCUUGGUUGAAAAUAGAAUCUCUGUAUUGAUUCAGGUAAAAACUGAACUUCACAGCAUGUUGGAGCAAAACAACCAGAUGAAAACUGUGAUGGUGUUGGAUUGUCAGACCGUAAUGUUGCAGCUCAAAGCAGCUUUUCUAUCUCAGUUCAUUCUGACAUUCAGCUAUGAAUCAACACAGCAGAUGGUGAUCCAUGCUGUGGAAGUCUCACAUCUCCUGAUUUAAUGGAGCUGCUUUGCACUUUUUACACUGUUUAUUCACCAACACUUUAUUUAAUAAAAGUCCCAUCUAGUUUUUAUGAGGAAUGUGAUGUUUUAAUUUCUCUGUUAAUAACUGCAGUCUAAUGGAACAGCUGGAGUUGUAACAUCUGUCCUGAUAUUGAUCAUGAAGUAUUGAUCAGAAUACUUAUGGUCAGCAGUCAUCCCUGAAGUUUUACAUUAAAAUCUUUACUUGUGUUGUGAACUUUGGUAAGAAGCAGAAACUUUAGCGUUGCCAUGGAUACAUGAGUGUUAAAUUCUGUCCAUGUUUCCAUUUUGGGAAAUUCAGUCCAGCAGAUGAGUUUGUUUUUACUGCCAGCAACCAUUCAGUCUGAGAUAUUAAGAAUAAAUAAAUGUGCAUAAUGUGGAAAUGAACAGAUUCUAUUUUUAUUUAUACCUACAGCUGCUGGUAAAGUUCCAGAAUGUGGUGGAAUUUAGUCUCACAAUCACAGACAAUAAAUAUUAUCUGAAAGUCGGGUUAUUGUUUUAGCAGCACAUGUUGGACAUAUUCCAGUUAAGACUCUGGAAUAUCAGGAUUUAUGUACAUUUACCUCAAUAAUAUGAAUGUUCAGGUUAAGAUUGUACAGUGAUAUUUAUUAUGUAAGUUUAGCUGAUUAAAGUUUAUGACUCUGCACUAAAAUAUUAUGUAUUUAAAUUGACAUCAUUAUUAUAAUAUUUAGGGUCAGACCCUACAGUAUUGAGAUUAAGAAAUCAAAUAUUCUAUAAAAUGUAAAUACACUGAACUCAUUUGGAUAUAUUUAAGUGAGACUCUACAAUAUUAUUUGACACAAAUCUAUCUAAAUCAAAACUUUAAUCAUUUUUACUCCAAACAUUUACUGGACUGAUUUAAACAUUAAAAUCACUCCUUUCUAAUCCUCUGCUGUACGUUCAAACCUGAGGCCUUAAAUAGAGAAACACACAAGUAUCUGAUUGAAGGAACUUCUGCAGAGUCCUGGUUCCAGAACAUGAUGAUAGAAUUAUAGACAAACUUUAACAAAAGCUGCCUGAGAGUUUACAGCUUUUUAUGUUAGAUUUCUUCAAUAAUUUAAUGAGAGUUAUCAGCAAAAGUCAAGUGUUCAUUUGAUGAACUUCAUUUCCUAAAACAUCCAGAAUUGGAGCUCAUAUCUUUGGCAGCUGUAAAGUUUCUGCUCCUUCAAAGUUCACAACACAAUGAAUGAAUUCCUAAAACACUCUCAAUGCUGGAGAGCGUUUGUGAUGCUGAAGCAGUGACCAGUUUUUCAGUUUCUUCUCUGGAGAUGCACAAUGAGGGACGUCUGCAGAGACUGAGAAAGAGUCUCACCACAUCCUGACAUGAGGAAAAAGACUUUAUUGAAGACUACAAUGAGAAAAACUAUCAGACAGCAGACGACUGCAUUCAAGUCUGUAGCUGCUGAAUUCAUGGAUGAAUCAUCUGGAACUAGAGAAGAAGACCAUCAAACAUCCAUGUCAGCUGAUGGAGGUCCAAGAGUCUCACCAAGCAAACAACCUACAGAGUGAAGACCUCAAAUCUGAUUGGACGGCCUCCUAUUCAGCCACAUGUGUGAACAAAUGCCUCUAAGCUGAUUUGUUUUCUAAAAUAAAUCUAGUUUGAGU
Molecule: long non-coding RNA, 2473 nt
Organism: Amphiprion ocellaris (clown anemonefish)
Lineage: Eukaryota; Metazoa; Chordata; Actinopteri; Pomacentridae
Source: Ensembl